RNAcentral lists this ribosomal RNA (459 nucleotides) under Salmonella enterica subsp. enterica serovar Typhimurium. RNAcentral describes it as "bacterial SSU rRNA". It matches the Rfam family "Bacterial small subunit ribosomal RNA", at positions 1 to 456 of the family's 1533-position model. Lineage: Bacteria; Pseudomonadati; Pseudomonadota; Gammaproteobacteria; Enterobacterales; Enterobacteriaceae. The record is from RNAcentral.
AAAUUGAAGAGUUUGAUCAUGGCUCAGAUUGAACGCUGGCGGCAGGCCUAACACAUGCAAGUCGAACGGUAACAGGAAGCAGCUUGCUGCUUUGCUGACGAGUGGCGGACGGGUGAGUAAUGUCUGGGAAACUGCCUGAUGGAGGGGGAUAACUACUGGAAACGGUGGCUAAUACCGCAUAACGUCGCAAGACCAAAGAGGGGGACCUUCGGGCCUUUUGCCAUCAGAUGUGCCCAGAUGGGAUUAGCUUGUUGGUGAGGUAACGGCUCACCAAGGCGACGAUCCCUAGCUGGUCUGAGAGGAUGACCAGCCACACUGGAACUGAGACACGGUCCAGACUCCUACGGGAGGCAGCAGUGGGGAAUAUUGCACAAUGGGCGCAAGCCUGAUGCAGCCAUGCCGCGUGUAUGAAGAAGGCCUUCGGGUUGUAAAGUACUUUCAGCGGGGAGGAAGGUGUUG